AGAGUUUGAUCCUGGCUCAGGAUAAACGCUGGCGGCGUGCCUAACACAUGCAAGUCGAACGCUCUGAGUAAUCAGAGAGUGGCGGACGGGUGAGGAACACGUGGGUAUCUGCCUUUCGGUGAGGAAUACCGGCGAGAAAUCGCCGACAAUACCGCAUAUCCUUCUCACGAAGGAAAGUCGUAAGACGCCCCAAGAUGAGCCUGCGCCCGAUUAGCUAGCUGGUGGGGUAAAAGCCUACCAGGGCGACGAUCGGUAGCUGGUCUGAGAGGACGAUCAGCCACACUGGGAUUGAGAACGGCCCAGACUCCUACGGGGGGCAGCAGUGAGGAAUUUUCGUCAAUGGCCGAAAGGCUGAACGAGCAACGCCGCGUGCAGGAAGAAGGUUUUCGGAUCGUAAACUGCUUUUCUCUGGGACGAGAAUGGACGGUACCAGAGGAAGAAGCCCCGGCUAACUACGUGCCAGCAGCCGCGGUAAUACGUAGGGGGCGAGCGUUGUCCGGAUUUAUUGGGCGUAAAGGGCGCGUAGGCGGUGCUUUAAGUUUGAAGUGACAGUGGGUGGCUUAACUACCCAAGGCCUUUGAAAACUGGAGCACUUGAGGACCAGAGAGGGACAUAGAAUUCCGGGUGGAGUGGUGAAAUGCGUAGAUAUCCGGAGGAAUACCAAAGGCGAAGGCAGUGUCCUGGAGGGUGACUGACGCUGAGGCGCGAAAGCUAGGGGAGCGAACAGGAUUAGAUACCCUGGUAGUCCUAGCCGUAAACGAUGACCACUAGAUGUGUGGGGUAUCGACCCCUCGCGUGUCGGAGCAAACGUUUGAAGUGGUCCGCCUGGGGAGUACGGUCGCAAGAUUAAAACUUAAAGGAAUUGACGG
This 869-nucleotide ribosomal RNA is filed under the name uncultured bacterium. RNAcentral's name for it is "bacterial SSU rRNA". It matches the Rfam family "Bacterial small subunit ribosomal RNA", at positions 8 to 916 of the family's 1533-position model. The record is from RNAcentral.